GCUGCUAUUAGCAACUCCGGGGCGGUGCACUGUGUGCUUUUACGGGCCAAUAAUAGAUGUCUGGGGUGAUUGGAGGCAAUCAGCUUUCAGCCUGGAAUCUUACAAAGCCCCAGAUGUGUAAAAUAACAGGCCACUGAAGUCUUCCCUACUCAGACUUAUAAAUACCCCAUGCUCUAGGAAAGCAGGCCAGCUGCUAUCUUAAUGGGGAACAGGCAAAACACCUGUGGCCAUGGCUUGUAUGGCCUGGGACACUGCAACCUGGAUCAGAAGGGCUCUCCUGGGCUUAAUUGAGCCAAACUGAGUGGUAGUGGGUGGUAUGAAAAAGGUAAUCUGCUCCCUGCCUGCCUGCCGGGUGAUAUGACAGCAAAGGGAAGAUCACAGCGUGCUAGAAUGUAAUACCGUGAUCAAUGCAGACUGCCUCUUCUGUCUGAUGCCAGACAGCUUUGAUGAGCACUAUAGAGAGGUUUGCUUUCUCUCAAAAAUCACUUGUUAGUCUGACCUAUUCCGAUGUCCUGUUUUGUCCGCUCAUGAUGCUCUUCUUUUGGAUUAGUCUCUAGGCUACAUAGAAAGGCACUGGGAUAAUGCCUCCCAGGGCUGCUCUGGCACUGCUUCAGCCUGGGCCAUGCCUGAGCAGAGAAAAAGAUAAAGAUAGGUGUUGUGCUUGAAUGUGGCAGCCCAGAUGCUGAUGCUGAGUGCAGCUGGUUCAGUGGAGCUGUUUCUCGCCCUCCUUACCAUCACUGCUUGCAGUCUCCUGUGACCAGCUGUAAUGCUGCAAGGCAGACAGUCUCCUCACUACACCCUGGAGUGCCAUUCGUAGUCUCAGCCUCCACGACUGCUGCAGUGUGUUAUAGUCCUUCCAGCCAGGAAUUCGGCCUGCUACAACUCGGAGAAAAUCAUCAGCAGACAGCGUGGCUGCAGCUGGUGUGGUGGAAGGGGUCGGGUGGCAGCAGAGGAUCUGGCUGAGCGCUGAGCUGCAGUUGCAGCUUGUGGUCUGCAGUGAGCUAUGGAGAUGUGAAGCAAUCGCAUUGCAGAAAGCAAGAGAGAUGCCAGCUCCACAAUCCAAGCAUUGACAAGGAAAAACUACAUCACUCACUGGGUUAGAUGAUUUUAUAGCAUCACAAGGCAAUCAGAGAGGUGGGUCUCUGGCAAGCAGUGCUUCUUAGGUAGGUUUGGUGCAUGCCACAUAUCUUCUGUUUGCAGUUUGUUUGCUUUUUCUUUGGCUUGCCAAUAUAUCAGUGGCUUUCAGUAGUUCUGCAGGAGCAUUUGCACAGUUCUGCAGGAAAUCUGUAGGUAUUUACAUUUCCUUCAUAGCAAAACAAACCAGAGAUCUGUCUUGCUCUGAAGAAGAUGAGAGCGUUAUUUUCUUUCUCUCCAUAAAUUCUGACAAGAACAAGGAGGACAGAUCUGCAGUGCUAACACAGCAACAGUGAAACCUUCUGUAUUUUUCAUUACAACGCUUGUCAGAGGAACUGGAUUCAUGCAGUGCCACUUUCUAGUCAUUACAUUCUUUGUCACAAGAAUAAGUUUUUAAUCCGUCAUGUGCCCUGCUGGGGCAUGGUGGAGUGGCUGAGGACUCGUACUUGCUGUGGUCUGUAAUUUGCCUGGCCAUGGACCACCUCCAGGUGCUUCCCCGUGUGGAGAGAGGAGCCAGAAAGAGCUGUCGAGGGCAGCGUCCAACAUGUGGCAAUGGAGGUGAGGGAGGUUUUGAGCCUAAAUCGGAGCCAGGAAGACAUGAGCAGGGAAUAAGCUGUUCGUGCUCUCUUCCACGAAUGGCUCCCAGAAUGUUAUUUGAGAUACUAACGCCACAUGUGGCUCCUAAAUGUUGACAGCUGGAAGAGAACGGCCAGUGCCCGUUUCUCUGCUGGGCGUGCAUUUAGAAAGCCCAUGUUCACUUAUGAAUUUGGCUGCAGGUUCCUCUUCUCAUCCUGGUCAGGUGUCUUAGCCUUCCCAUCUGCUCUUCUUGUUCCCUACCUGCACAAACCAGAAAGGAAACCAAUGCAGUGCUGGGCUCAGUAAGGGGUGAUAUAGCUGGGGAAACUGGGCAAAACUUUUCUUGUUGCUCAUGUCACGGAGGAUAUGUUUUUAGUUACAUUAAAGGCUUUUGUGACAACAUGAUUUAUUUUAUGGUAUUUUUUAAUUUUGAGGAAAAUUGAUAAAGGCAUCCAAAACCGUACUAGGUUUGACGGCAUUACAAUAAACAAAAAAUAAGUUUGGGGGCAGUUGGAAGCCAGUUUUAAUUUCAAAGUCUUGUUUCACUGUAAGACAUCCCAGAACAGCCACAAAAUUACAGGCUCAGAACUGAAACCUAAUAUUUCAACUGACAUGACUUUUUUUUCUCUCUCUUUUAUUUUUUAUCCACUGCUAACCAAGGAGAGAAAAGAAGAAUUUCUUUCAAAAUAAAGCAUCUAUUUUCCUCGGCACUUCUUUUUACCAAUGAGCUGAAUGUUGCUUUUCCGUUUAGUGCUGUCACUGUAGUAAUAGUAGUGAUAGAGACAUCGUAUAAUAGGACAGGUAGAAGAAGACCAUGGAGAUAAUCAGCAUGCAGACACCAAAGGAAAAAAAAAAUAAUAAUGAGAAUUGGAGUUUUCUGGAGAGGGAGAAGCCGCUAUCCAAACUAGGUCAGCCUGUGUCCUCAGCUCCUGUGCAAGAGAUGAAUCACGCACUUGGACUCCAAAGCAAGCCAUCCCAUAGAAAAAUGUUUGUUUAACUCUGAAUUGCCAAAGGGCAUUUAACUGAGAUUCAGCCUUUGCCAGCUAGAAGGAAACAUGCCCUUCAAGCACGUGAUGCUUGCUGCUCCCCUCUCUGUGGGCUCAGCCCCACAUAAUGGCACGGAGCCCCUGGAAGCGUGGCAAGGGAAUGCAGGUGGUGAAGGUUUUCCAAUCUGACUCUGGCUGUGCAACACCUUCCCAGGGAGGAAGGGACAUGGCUUAUGGUUAUUCUAUAAGCAAGAAGGGGAGGUAAGGGCUGCCUGCUGAGGCCCAAACUGCAGGCAGAGAGGAACCUGAGGGGAGGAUGUAGGGGCAAGAUCCCAUCCUGCAGCACGGGAGUCUCGGUGCUUUUCCAUGAACAUAGCUGGUGAUGAAUAUUGCCUCUCUCUGUUCUGGGAAUAGGAAAGCCAACCACGCCAUCUGGACUAUUAUGACACUGUGCAUAGCUGUUUCCAAGCAAAUGCCGUUAAGCCAGACUACUUGCUCAGGCCUUCUCCCAGUAGUUUUGCUACCACCUGCUGUAGUUUUCUUUUAUCCCACUGCUGAAAGCACACUUGUAGCGUGAAUUGGCUGACAUGAAGAAGCAAUUCGGGUAUCUAAACACAUCUUUCAGUGUUUUCUAUAAGAACCUGUGGCAUUGGCUGGGGUAAAGGAAUAUGAUAAGGGACUUCCAUAAGAACUCCAGCCUCUGGAUUGGCACCGGGACGAUGGGAGGUCAAAGCUCCCUGAUAAGGGAUGUACGGGGCCUGAUGCAUUGGGCCCACGGUCACCUUCCCUUAUCACACAGAGGAACUCAUGGUCUAGAAAAUGGAUGUUCUUGAGAGUUUCUGGGAAAUCCAUGGAGAAGAGCUUGCUUCUCCUUUCUCUCCCAGGAUCAUUCUCAGCUCUUGGUGCCCUUUCUAAGGACAGCCCCACAAAGGGAGUAAAGCAGAAAUGCAGGAAAGAACAACCAGCAUCCUAAACAGUCAGCAUUGCAGGAAAGCUGGGACUCAGGAGAUUCUCCCAGUGUCUACAAUCCCAGCCUAACCCACUGUUUGUGAUUUACUGCCUAGAACAGUGGCUUUAUGCCCCUUUUCCCAGAAGUGUUACAUUUCUUUUAAAACAUUAACCACCAGAACCACACUGUUUCUUGCUGAUGUACAAAAUGUCCAAAUGCCAUUCAUGUGCUCUGCUCUAAUUCAUUUUAAUUUUAUUUCUCUGGGCUCAUUACAAGAGGGUGGCUCUCGAUUCUGCUAGUGCCACUUUCCUUUGAAUCAGCAACAGCCAUUGAUGAAAAUGAUCCAGAUAUAGCUGGUUUCUUCUUAGGACCUGAACACACAGGUGUGUAGCACAAGCACCACACUACUGCAAAAUGCCCUGCACUUUCUUUGUGCUGCUCAGUGACAAGGUGAUCUCCCCACUCCCAUGAACACAAUCUUAAUUGGCCCAGGUUAAUAGUAAAUGUUUAACAUGAAAAGUCAAAUCAGGUAUUUAGCCAAAUUACAAAUAACAAGUAUUUAUUUAU
Anas platyrhynchos (mallard) is the source of this 4212-nucleotide long non-coding RNA. RefSeq lists it as uncharacterized. The record is from RefSeq and is a predicted model, not a curated record. NCBI's taxonomy places the organism in Eukaryota, Metazoa, Chordata, Aves, Anseriformes, Anatidae.